This is a long non-coding RNA of Rhinopithecus roxellana (golden snub-nosed monkey), 356 nucleotides long. RefSeq lists it as uncharacterized. The record is from RefSeq and is a predicted model, not a curated record. The transcript is spliced from 2 exons. Lineage: Eukaryota; Metazoa; Chordata; Mammalia; Primates; Cercopithecidae.
ACAUUUGAUAAUGAGGCUAAAUAUACUCCCGCGUCGGAAGAGGCGUGGGCGGCCCGAUCGCGUGGGCACUGCGCUCGGGGCUCCGCGGGGCGUCCCCUCCCAGGCCCAGGAGACAGAGGCGCGGACCCCGGGACAGAGGCUGGCUUUGUGCGGGAGGGAGACGCGCCCCGCGCGCCGCCCCCGAAACAUUCCCACCCCAGGCUGCGGCGCACGUCUGGGAGGCCGUGGGCGCCCCGAGGGGCAUUUGUACGUGGGGUGUACAGGCAGGAACAGGAAAGAAGCGGUGGCCACCCAGGAACAGUGGUUGCAGUCAACACUCCCGAUCCCCAGUUCCAAGGUUCGAGGAGGGGACACAG